Molecule: ribosomal RNA, 2847 nt
Filed under: Euclidium syriacum
Lineage: Eukaryota; Viridiplantae; Streptophyta; Magnoliopsida; Brassicales; Brassicaceae
Description: bacterial LSU rRNA
Rfam family: Bacterial large subunit ribosomal RNA (bases 1306-2847)
Source: RNAcentral
GUUUGGCAAGUUCGGAGAAUUUCCAGCACGGAACGGUAAUAUCGGCUCUGCUAGCUUCGAUCAGGAAAGCUACCAUAUGUCUGAUAGCGCCGGGUCCUAGUUGGAUAAAAGCAAUCUUCAAUUUUUUACAGAAUUCAACCAGAAGGAAAGGAAUUGGGAACCAAAGUCGAGCUUUGGUAAAGAAAUGAAAGUAGAGACACAUGAAUCCCUCAGGAGGAGUCCAAGGUUUUUCUCCAGACUUCGGAACCAGAAUAUCGAGAUCUUCUGGCUCAGAGGCGAAUAAACGGAGAGUUUCAAUGCCACUCUCUCUGAAGAUAGAAUCUCUGAAGUCUUCAGAAAGCUCCUCUUCUGCAAUCGCUUGGUCGGAGAUGGUCUCAGAGCUGUUGCUUUUGGAUGGGGAGUUUGCCGGGAUAGAUGAAGCAGGAUGUUCAGUUUCCUUCUCGGCGGAAGAAACACCUUCGAUAUCAAUCAGGAAUCAAUUGAUUGAUUUCCAGGGUUUUUCUGCUGAGAUACACUGGAUCUGGAAGAAGAAGAAGCCGAGGUGGAAUCAGUCUCGGAACUGGAGCUAGGAGAAUUUUGUUUAGUGAGCGACAUUUUGGGAUAAUUUCGGAGAAGAGGAAGAUUUAGAAGGAUUGCGUGAAUGAAAUGAUAUAACGGAUAGGGAUUUAGUCUCUUUAAAUAGUUGUUAGAGAGAGGCGGUUUGACAUUCGUGGAAGUUCAACCGACGUCUUCAAGAAGUGUUAAAAUUGUAUUCGGGGAAAUAAGGGUUCAAUGAAUGAAGCACGAUCUCCUUUUUUCCCACCAAAAGUCGCUUCGGAUGAUUCAAGAGUGUACGAUCGACACGUCAUCGGGAAAUGGAAGGGUCCUGUAAUACCCGAGAAUUUCGCACCAGAAAACCUUACAUUGUCCGGUCUUUUCCCGCCAAAUUGAAGAACGAAGAAUAUUGGAGAAUUAAAAUUAAGAUUAUUGAAGACAAAGAUCAACUGGUACCGAACUUCAUUUAUUGACAAGCUAUUUAGAAUGGAAAUUCGCCAACACUGCCUGAAGACAUCCUCGGACGAACUGGGGGGGGGACUUACUGUUGAUGGUGGGUUUCUACCCCUUAUCGAUAGUUUGGCAAUAAUUGGAGUUUGGUCCCUGCCGAGCUCUUCCCUGAUAACUUAUUAGGUUAUAAGUCCCGACAAUAGGAAUAUUAACCCUCGGCUCAGAUGACCGAAGGAUAACUCGGUGAAGAAUGACCGAAUUUAGUGUCCGAAGCGGGGGUAUAAACAACAUCAUCCUAGGCCGAAGUCUAAAGCUCGGACAGUAUAAGAUCAAAUCUUAUCACAGAUUCCCUAGUAUUGGAAAAAUAGAAAUAUUCCAUUUUUCCGAGAUUAGCCCAUGGGCUGACAAGACCGACUAUUAAGGAUAUAUAAAUACAUACCCCCCUCACUAAUAAUAUUCAUUCAGAAUCGGGGAGAAGAAUUACUAGAUCGCCUAGGUUUAAUACUUCUCUUUGAUAAAGUUAACUCGGCAUCCCGAGUUAACACCCUUGUAACACAAAUCAUUAAUAAAGAUAUUUCUUUCCGAGGUUUCUCUUUGUAUUCUUACUUUAUACGUUUCCAAAAACGAACCCCUCUAAUUAUAAAUAAUUAGAAGUUGAACCCAGUAUCAACAGCACGCGUCGGCGCUGUCCUCGAAAGUUGCUUUAUGGGGGCUAACGCCUGCCCAGUGCCGGAAGGUCAAGGAAGUUGGUGACCUGAUGACAGGGGAGCCAGCGACCGAAGCCCCGUUGAACGGAGGCAAUAACUAUAACGGUCCUAAGGUAGCAAAAUUCUUUGUCGGGUAAGUUUCAACCCGCACGAAAGGCGUAACGAUCUGGGCACUGUCUCGGAGAGAGGCUCGGUGAAAUAGACAUGUCUGUGAAGAUGCGGACUACCUGCACCUGGACAGAAAGACCCUAUGAAGCUUUACUGUUCCCAGGGAUUGGCUUUGGGGUUUUCCUGCGCAGCUUAGGUGGAAGGCGAAGAAGGCCUCCUUCCGGGGGGCCCGAGCCAUCAGUGAGAUACCACUCUGGAAGAGCUAGAAUUCUAACCUUGUGUCAGGACCUACGGGCGAAGGGACAGUCUCACGUAGACGGUUUCUAUGGGGCGUAGGCCUCCCAAAAGGUAACGGAGGCGUGUAAAGGUUUCCUCGGGCCGAACGGAGAUUGGCCCUCUAGUGCAAAGGCAGAAGGGAGCUUGACUGCAAGACCCACCGGUCGAGUGAUCCGACGGUGCCGAGUGGAAGGGCCGUCCCUCAACGGAUAAAAGUUACUCUAAGGAUAACAGGCUGAUCUUCCGCAAGAGCUCACAUCGACGGGAAGGUUGGGCACCUCGAUGUCGGCUCUUCGCCACCUAGGGCUGUAGUAUGUUCCAAGGUUGGGCUGUUCACCCAUUAAAGUGGUACGUGAGCUGGGUUCAGAACGUCGUGAGACAGUUCGGUCCAUAUCCGGUGUGGACGUUAGAGCAUUGAAAGGACGUUUCCCUAGUACGAGAGGACCGGGAAGGACGCACCUCUGGUGUACCAGUUAUCAUGUCCACGGUAAACGCUGGGUAGCUAAGUGCGGAACGGAUAACUGCUGAAAGCAUCUAAGUAGUAAGCCCAUCCCAAGAAGAGUGCUCUCCUAUUCCGACUUCCCCUGAGCCUCCGGUAGCACAGCCGAGACAGCAACGGGUUCUCUGCCCCUGCAGGGAUGGAGUGACAGAAGUUUUGAGAAUUCAAAAGAAGGUCACGGCGAGACGAGCCGUUUAUCAUUACGAUAGGUGUCAAGUGGAAGUGCAGUAAUGUAUGCAGCUGAGGCAUCCUAACAGACCGGUAGACUUGAAC